AACGAACGCUGGCGGCAGGCUUAACACAUGCAAGUCGAACGCCCCGCAAGGGGAGUGGCAGACGGGUGAGUAACGCGUGGGAACGUACCUUUCAGUUCGGAAUAACUCAGGGAAACUUGUGCUAAUACCGGAUACGCCCGUAAGGGGAAAGAUUUAUCGCUGAAAGAUCGGCCCGCGUUGGAUUAGCUAGUUGGUGAGGUAAUGGCCUACCAAGGCGACGAUCCAUAGCUGGUCUGAGAGGAUGAUCAGCCACACUGGGACUGAGACACGGCCCAGACUCCUACGGGAGGCAGCAGUGGGGAAUAUUGGACAAUGGGCGAAAGCCUGAUCCAGCCAUGCCGCGUGAGUGAUGAAGGCCCUAGGGUUGUAAAGCUCUUUCACCGAUGAAGAUAAUGACGGUAGUCGGAGAAGAAGCCCCGGCUAACUUCGUGCCAGCAGCCGCAGUAA
RNAcentral lists this ribosomal RNA (447 nucleotides) under uncultured bacterium. Its description in RNAcentral is "partial 16S ribosomal RNA". It matches the Rfam family "Bacterial small subunit ribosomal RNA", at positions 29 to 523 of the family's 1533-position model. The record is from RNAcentral.